CCUACGGGAGGCAGCAGUGGGGGAUAUUGGACAAUGGGGGAAACCCUGAUCCAGCGACGCCGCGUGAGUGAAGAAGUAUUUCGGUAUGUAAAGCUCUAUCAGCAGGGAAGAAAGACAUGACGGUACCUUAGUACGAAGCCCCGGCUAACUACGUGCCAGCAGCCGCGGUACUACGUAGGGGGCAAGCGUUAUCCGGAAUUACUGGGUGUAAAGGGAGCGUAGACGGUAAUGCAAGUCUGGAGUGAAAGGCGGGGGCCCAACCCCCGGACUGCACUGGAAACUGUGGAACUGGAGUGCAGGAGAGGCAGGCGGAAUUCCUAGUGUAGCGGUGAAAUGCGUAGAUAUUAGGAGGAACACCAGUGGCGAAGGCGGCCUGCUGGACUGUAACUGACGUUGAGGCUCGAAAGCGUGGGGAGCAAACAGGAUUAGAUACCCCUGUAGUC
This 443-nucleotide ribosomal RNA is filed under the name uncultured bacterium. RNAcentral describes it as "partial 16S ribosomal RNA". It matches the Rfam family "Bacterial small subunit ribosomal RNA", at positions 338 to 795 of the family's 1533-position model. The record is from RNAcentral.